CCCUUAGAUGUUCUGGGCUGCACGCGCGCUACACUGAUGCAUUCAGCAAGUCUACAACCUUCUUCGAGAGAAGUGGGUAAUCUUCUGAAAGUGCAUCGUGAUGGGGAUAGAUUAUUGCAAUUAUUAAUCUUCAACGAGGAAUGCCUAGUAAGCGCGAGUCAUCAACUCGCGUUGAUUACGUCCCUGCCCUUUGUACACACCGCCCGUCGCUCCUACCGAUUGAACGUGCUGGUGAAGCGUUAGGACUGGACUGUUGCCUAGGUCUCCUAGGCUUCAGUCCGGGAAUUUCGUUAAACCCUCCCGUUUAGAGGAAGGAGAAGUCGUAACA
RNAcentral lists this ribosomal RNA (328 nucleotides) under uncultured eukaryote. RNAcentral's name for it is "partial 18S ribosomal RNA". It matches the Rfam family "Eukaryotic small subunit ribosomal RNA", at positions 1470 to 1796 of the family's 1831-position model. The record is from RNAcentral.